Molecule: transfer RNA, 66 nt
Filed under: Stictoleptura succedanea
Lineage: Eukaryota; Metazoa; Arthropoda; Insecta; Coleoptera; Cerambycidae
Description: tRNA-Ala
Source: RNAcentral
AGGAUAAUAGUUAACCUUAACAUUUAAUUUGCAUUUAAAAAAUAUUGAAUUUUUCAAUUUAUCUUU